RNAcentral lists this ribosomal RNA (937 nucleotides) under Neoprotoparmelia corallifera. RNAcentral describes it as "SSU rRNA". The stretch from base 710 to 863 matches the Rfam family "5.8S ribosomal RNA". Lineage: Eukaryota; Fungi; Ascomycota; Lecanoromycetes; Lecanorales; Parmeliaceae. The record is from RNAcentral.
AAUAUCGACUAUGUCGAAUAAAUUCUAGUAGUUAUGAUAAUGACAUUUUAUGCCUAUGUGUCUUGACCAAAUUACUGCCAGCAGUCGCGGUAAUACGUAGAAGACUAGUGUUAUUCAUCUUUAAUAGGUUUAAAGGGUACCUAGACGGUAAAUCAAGCACUAUUUUUAGAGUUACAUGUGAGGGGGUUCUAAAGUACUGCUGGUGUAGAGAUGAAAUUCUGUCAUACCCACAGGUAUAGGCGAAAGCAUCUCCUUAUGUGAUAACUGACGUUGAGGGACGAAGGCUGCGAACAGGAUUAGUUACCCCAGUAGUCCAAGCAGAAAAUGAUGAAUGUCAUAGAUUAGUUUAUUCUAUAAAUGAAAAUGUAAGCAUUCCACCUCAAGAGUAAUUUGGCAACAUUGGAACUGAAAUCAUUAGACCGUUUCUGAAACCAGUAGUGAAGUAUGUUGUUUAAUUUGAUAAUCCGCAAAAAACCUUACCACAAUUUGAAUAUUAUUUACAAGCGUUGCACGGCUGUCUUCAGUUAAUGUCGCGAGACUUUGGUUAGUUCCAUUAACGUAAACCCUUACUUUAUUUUAUAUAAAGUGGUUCCCCUCGAGAGAGGAGUUCUGCCUCCCGGGGCUUCGGCCCUCAACUCUUCACCCGCUGUGUAUCUACUUAAGUUGCUUUGGCGGGCGCGAGCGCCCGCCAGAGGCAUCGUCCGAGCAAAACUUUCAACAACGGAUCUCUUGGUUCCAGCAUCGAUGAAGAACGCAGCGAAACGCGAUAGGUAAUGUGAAUUGCAGAAUUCAGUGAAUCAUCGAAUCUUUGAACGCACAUUGCGCCCCUUGGCAUUCCGAGGGGCAUGUCUGUUCGAGCGUCAUUGCAUCCCUCAAGCGUAGGUAUUGCCCCGGCGGCCCCGAAAAGCGUCGGCCGUCCGGCGUCUUUCGAGCGUAU